This 251-nucleotide ribosomal RNA is filed under the name uncultured Acholeplasma sp. RNAcentral describes it as "partial 16S ribosomal RNA". It matches the Rfam family "Bacterial small subunit ribosomal RNA", at positions 1129 to 1382 of the family's 1533-position model. Lineage: Bacteria; Bacillati; Mycoplasmatota; Mollicutes; Acholeplasmatales; Acholeplasmataceae. The record is from RNAcentral.
AGUUGGGGACUCUAGCGAGACUGCCAGUGAUAAACUGGAGGAAGUGGGGAUGACGUCAAAUCAUCAUGCCCCUUAUGACCUGGGCUACAAACGUGAUACAAUGGCUGAAACAAGGGCAGCGAAGCAGUGAUGUGGAGCGAAACCCAAAAAGCAGUCUCAGUUCGGAUUGAAGUCUGCAACUCGACUUCAUGAAGUCGGAAUCGCUAGUAAUCGCGGAUCAGAACGCCGCGGUGAAUACGUUCUCGGGGUUU